Molecule: transfer RNA, 82 nt
Filed under: Bacillota bacterium
Lineage: Bacteria; Bacillati; Bacillota
Description: tRNA-Leu
Rfam family: tRNA
About the family: Transfer RNA (tRNA) molecules are approximately 80 nucleotides in length. Their secondary structure includes four short double-helical elements and three loops (D, anti-codon, and T loops).
Source: RNAcentral
GCGAGAGUGGCGGAAUGGCAGACGCGCUAGACUUAGGAUCUAGUGGGCAACCGUAGGGGUUCAAGUCCCCUCUCUCGCACCA